This 293-nucleotide ribosomal RNA is filed under the name uncultured bacterium. RNAcentral's name for it is "partial 16S ribosomal RNA". It matches the Rfam family "Bacterial small subunit ribosomal RNA", at positions 775 to 1067 of the family's 1533-position model. The record is from RNAcentral.
GGAUUAGAUACCCUGGUAGUCCACGCCGUAAACGAUGUCUGCUAGCCGUCGGGGCACUUGGUGCUUCGGUGGCGCCGCUAACGCAUUAAGCAGACCGCCUGGGGAGUACGGUCGCAAGAUUAAAACUUAAAGGAAUUGACGGGGGCCCGCACAAGCGGUGGAGCAUGUGGUUUAAUUCGAAGCAACGCGCAGAACCUUACCAGCCCUUGACAUCCUGUGCAACAUCCAGAGAUGGAUGGUUCCCCUCGGGGACGCAGUGACAGGUGCUGCAUGGCUGUCGUCAGCUCGUGCCG